GCAGGUGUCGUAUAAUGGCUAUUAUGUCUGCCUUCCAAGCAGAAAAUGAGAGUUCGAUUCCCUCCACCUGCACCA
This 75-nucleotide transfer RNA is filed under the name Candidatus Saccharimonadota bacterium. RNAcentral's name for it is "tRNA-Gly". It matches the Rfam family "tRNA". From Rfam's summary of the family: Transfer RNA (tRNA) molecules are approximately 80 nucleotides in length. Their secondary structure includes four short double-helical elements and three loops (D, anti-codon, and T loops). Lineage: Bacteria; Candidatus Saccharimonadota. RNAcentral also lists the same sequence under 1 other name. The record is from RNAcentral.